This 29-nucleotide non-coding RNA is filed under the name Rattus norvegicus (Norway rat). The record is from RNAcentral. Lineage: Eukaryota; Metazoa; Chordata; Mammalia; Rodentia; Muridae.
UNGCUAGGUAGGACUAUUGACUGCUUCCC